UACGUAGGGUGCGAGCGUUGUCCGGAAUUAUUGGGCGUAAAGAGCUCGUAGGCGGUGUGUCACGUCGGCCGUGAAAACCUGCAGCUUAACUGUGGGCGUGCGGUCGAUACGGGCAUCACUGGAGUUCGGCAGGGGAGACUGGAAUUCCUGGUGUAGCGGUGAAAUGCGCAGAUAUCAGGAGGAACACCGGUGGCGAAGGCAGCUCGCUGGGACGGUACUGACGCUGAGACGCGAAAGCGUGGGGAGCGAACAGG
This 254-nucleotide ribosomal RNA is filed under the name uncultured bacterium. RNAcentral's name for it is "partial 16S ribosomal RNA". It matches the Rfam family "Bacterial small subunit ribosomal RNA", at positions 524 to 776 of the family's 1533-position model. The record is from RNAcentral.